ACGAACGCUGGCGGCGUGCCUAACACAUGCAAGUCGAACGGGGGUAGCAAUACCCCAGUGGCGAACGGGUGCGUAACACGUGAGGAACUUGUCCAUCGGCGGGGGAUAGCCGGCCCAACGGCCGGGUAAUACCGCGUACGUCGGCGGGAUCGCAUGGUCCUGCCGGGAAAGCAGCAAUGCACCGAUGGAGAGCCUCGCGGCCUAUCAGCUAGUUGGUGAGGUAAUGGCUCACCAAGGCGACGACGGGUAGCUGGUCUGAGAGGAUGAUCAGCCACAUUGGGACUGAGACACGGCCCAGACUCCUACGGGAGGCAGCAGUGGGGAAUAUUGCGCAAUGGGCGAAAGCCUGACGCAGCGACGCCGCGUGUGGGAUGACGGCCUUCGGGUUGUAAACCACUGUCGCGAGGGACGAAGAUCUGACGGUACCUCGAAAGGAAGCACCGGCUAACUCUGU
RNAcentral lists this ribosomal RNA (454 nucleotides) under uncultured bacterium. RNAcentral describes it as "bacterial SSU rRNA". It matches the Rfam family "Bacterial small subunit ribosomal RNA", at positions 29 to 506 of the family's 1533-position model. The record is from RNAcentral.